CAGGUUCAAGAUUAAAAAACCGACUGACAGCUCGCCGGGGAGAGAAUAAUCUGCGCAUGCGCUGUUUUUAAGAUUUUUAAAAGCCACUGCCUACCCUGUCUAAUUACUCACGGCACGUGCCUGCCA
This is a long non-coding RNA of Amblyraja radiata (thorny skate), 126 nucleotides long. RefSeq lists it as uncharacterized. The record is from RefSeq and is a predicted model, not a curated record. The transcript has 3 exons. NCBI's taxonomy places the organism in Eukaryota, Metazoa, Chordata, Chondrichthyes, Rajiformes, Rajidae.